ACUACUUUGGCAGAUAAGUGUGGUAGAUUUAGAAUCUUCUUAUGUAAUUUUUUUUACAGGUAGUA
This 65-nucleotide transfer RNA is filed under the name Anacanthotermes sp. A MLW-2022a. RNAcentral's name for it is "tRNA-Leu". Lineage: Eukaryota; Metazoa; Arthropoda; Insecta; Blattodea; Hodotermitidae. The record is from RNAcentral.